UAAUAAUAAUAGGCUGGGCACGGUGGCUCACGCCUGUAAUCCCAGCACUUUGGGAGGCCGAGGCAGGCGGAUCCCGAGGUCAGGAGAUCGAGACCAUCCUGGCUAACAAGAUGAAGCAAUUGUACUCAUAGCACUGAGCCACCCAUUCCUCUGAGUGGGCUAAUGAGAGGUUGGUAGUGAAUUUUGAUCUGAUGACCUUGAGGAGAGAGAACCAGCAGACCGAAGACCAUGAGACUUCCCACCCACAGUGAGCUAAAAGGACGCUUUUGUCAGAGUGGGGAAAUAAAAGGGCUUUAUGGGAAGGAAGAUAAGAAUAGAUGAGUCAGAGGUUUCUGCUUAAUGCAAAACCAAGAAUCUUCUUGGGCUAAGCCCCAGUUUGGGGUUCACCUGCCUUGCAGCAACAUGGCACCAAACAUGGGGCAGAAGAGAGAAGAUGACAGCAUGAGAGACGGAGAAAGAAAUGGCAAUUGGCAA
Symphalangus syndactylus (siamang) is the source of this 474-nucleotide long non-coding RNA. RefSeq lists it as uncharacterized. The record is from RefSeq and is a predicted model, not a curated record. Lineage: Eukaryota; Metazoa; Chordata; Mammalia; Primates; Hylobatidae.